UACAGAGGGUGCAAGCGUUGUUCGGAAUUAUUGGGCGUAAAGGGCGCGUAGGCGGUGCUGUAAGUCUGUGGUGAAAUCUCUGGGCUCAACUCAGAGUCUGCCAUAGAAACUGCAGUGCUGGAGUGUGGGAGAGGUGAGUGGAAUUCCCGGUGUAGCAGUGAAAUGCGUAGAUAUCAGGAGGAACACCGAUGGCGAAGGCAGGUCUCUGGGCUGACACUGACGCUCAUGCACGAAAGCGUGGGGAGCAAACAGG
RNAcentral lists this ribosomal RNA (253 nucleotides) under uncultured bacterium. Its description in RNAcentral is "partial 16S ribosomal RNA". It matches the Rfam family "Bacterial small subunit ribosomal RNA", at positions 524 to 776 of the family's 1533-position model. The record is from RNAcentral.